This 554-nucleotide ribosomal RNA is filed under the name uncultured bacterium. RNAcentral's name for it is "partial 16S ribosomal RNA". It matches the Rfam family "Bacterial small subunit ribosomal RNA", at positions 355 to 900 of the family's 1533-position model. The record is from RNAcentral.
UGGGGAAUAUUGCACAAUGGGCGCAAGCCUGAUGGAGCAACGCCGCGUGAGUGAAGAAGGUCUUCGGAUCGUAAAGCUCUGUUGUUGGUGAAGAAGGAUAGAGGCAGUAACUGGUCUUUAUUUGACGGUAAUCAACCAGAAAGUCACGGCUAACUACGUGCCAGCAGCCGCGGUAAUACGUAGGUGGCAAGCGUUGUCCGGAUUUAUUGGGCGUAAAGCGAGCGCAGGCGGAAUGAUAAGUCUGAUGUGAAAGCCCACGGCUCAACCGUGGAACUGCAUCGGAAACUGUCAUUCUUGAGUGCAGAAGAGGAGAGUGGAACUCCAUGUGUAGCGGUGGAAUGCGUAGAUAUAUGGAAGAACACCAGUGGCGAAGGCGGCUCUCUGGUCUGCAACUGACGCUGAGGCUCGAAAGCAUGGGUAGCGAACAGGAUUAGAUACCCUGGUAGUCCAUGCCGUAAACGAUGAGAGCUAGGUGUUGGGGACUUUCCGGUCCUCAGUGCCGCAGCAAACGCAUUAAGCGCUCCGCCUGGGGAGUACGACCGCAAGGUUGAAAC